CUCAGGAUGAACGCUGGCGGCGUGCCUAACACAUGCAAGUCGAACGAAGGCAUUAGGAAACUCUUCGGAGCGGAAAGAUGCCUUAGUGGCGGACGGGUGAGUAACGCGUGGAUAACCUGCCUCAUACAGGGGGAUAACAGUUAGAAAUGACUGCUAAAACCGCAUAAGCGCACACUACCGCAUGGUAGAGUGUGAAAAAACUCCGGUGGUAUGAGAUGGAUCCGCGUCUGAUUAGUUAGUUGGCGGGGUAACGGCCCACCAAGACGACGAUCAGUAGCCGACCUGAGAGGGUGACCGGCCACAUUGGGACUGAGACACGGCCCAAACUCCUACGGGAGGCAGCAGUGGGGGAUAUUGCACAAUGGGGGAAACCCUGAUGCAGCGACGCCGCGUGAGUGAAGAAGUAUUUCGGUAUGUAAAGCUCUAUCAGCAGGGAAGAAGAUGACGGUACCUGCAGAAGAAGCCCCGGCUAACUACGUGCCAGCCGCAGC
Molecule: ribosomal RNA, 491 nt
Filed under: uncultured bacterium
Lineage: Bacteria
Description: bacterial SSU rRNA
Rfam family: Bacterial small subunit ribosomal RNA
Source: RNAcentral